AGGGUAAUGGCUUAAUUGGUAAAGCAUGUGACUUUUAAUCACCGGAUUCCGGGUUCAAUUCCCGGUUACCCUA
RNAcentral lists this transfer RNA (73 nucleotides) under Urnula craterium. RNAcentral's name for it is "tRNA-Lys". It matches the Rfam family "tRNA". Rfam says of the family: Transfer RNA (tRNA) molecules are approximately 80 nucleotides in length. Their secondary structure includes four short double-helical elements and three loops (D, anti-codon, and T loops). Lineage: Eukaryota; Fungi; Ascomycota; Pezizomycetes; Pezizales; Sarcosomataceae. The record is from RNAcentral.